AGCAUGAGUAGCAAUACUUGAUGGCGACCGGCAAACGGGUGAGGAACACGUACACAACCUUCCUUCAGACGGGGAAUAGCCCAGAGAAAUUUGGAUUAAUACCCCAUAAUAUAUUUGAUAAGGCAUCUUAUUAAUAUUAAAGCUUCGGCACUUGAUGAUGGGUGUGCGGCUGAUUAGAUAGUUGGCGGGGUAACGGCCCACCAAGUCUACGAUCAGUAGCUGAUGUGAGAGCAUGAUCAGCCACACGGGCACUGAGACACGGGCCCGACUCCUACGGGAGGCAGCAGUAAGGAAUAUUGGACAAUGGACGAAAGUCUGAUCCAGCCAUGCCGCGUGAAGGAUUAAGGUCCUCUGGAUUGUAAACUUCUUUUAUAUGGGACGAAAAAAGGGCAUUCUUGUUCACUUGACGGUACCAUAUGAAUAAGCACCGGCUAACUCCGUG
This 442-nucleotide ribosomal RNA is filed under the name uncultured bacterium. RNAcentral describes it as "bacterial SSU rRNA". It matches the Rfam family "Bacterial small subunit ribosomal RNA", at positions 68 to 507 of the family's 1533-position model. The record is from RNAcentral.